RNAcentral lists this ribosomal RNA (465 nucleotides) under uncultured bacterium. RNAcentral describes it as "partial 16S ribosomal RNA". It matches the Rfam family "Bacterial small subunit ribosomal RNA", at positions 28 to 507 of the family's 1533-position model. The record is from RNAcentral.
GACGAACGCUGGCGGCGUGCUUAACACAUGCAAGUCGAACGGAAAGGCCCUGCUUGCAGGGUACUCGAGUGGCGAACGGGUGAGUAACACGUGGGUGAUCUGCCCUGCACUUCGGGAUAAGCCUGGGAAACUGGGUCUAAUACCGGAUAGGAGCCAUUUUUAGUGUGAUGGUUGGAAAGUUUUUUCGGUGUAGGAUGAGCUCGCGGCCUAUCAGCUUGUUGGUGGGGUAAUGGCCUACCAAGGCGGCGACGGGUAGCCGGCCUGAGAGGGUGGACGGCCACAUUGGGACUGAGAUACGGCCCAGACUCCUACGGGAGGCAGCAGUUGGGAAUAUUGCACAAUGGGCGCAAGCCUGAUGCAGCGACGCCGCGUGGGGGAUGACGGCCUUCGGGUUGUAAACUCCUUUCGCUAGGGACGAAGCUUUUUGUGACGGUACCUAGAUAAGAAGCACCGGCUAACUACGUG